GGUGCUGUACAGAUUCACUGACACGAAUCAGUGCUUCAAUUCAAAACAGCAUGUAUCAGGAAAACGCUGGAAGAGAAUGAAAAUGGAAUCAAUAAAGGCAUCUCUGUAUCUGUAAAAGUCCAACAGUGCACACGCACAGCUCAUUUUGUUAUCGGUGGAUUACUAGGAAACUUUAUCACAUACAUUUCUUUUGGUACUGUGGGUUCCUCAAUCACGCUCUCUUACUCACACUUCAGAUACAUCUGUGCCUGUCAAUCACAUUGAAGGCUGGACCGCCUGCCAGUUCCAGUGAAGGAGGUGUGGUCUCUGUAGUGUCAGUCCCAGUAAAAAUGGUGUGGCUUCUCUAAUGUCAGUCCCAGUGAAAGAGGUGUGGUCUCUGUAGUGUCAGUCCCAGUGAAAGAGGUGUGGUCUCUGUAGUGUCAGUCCCAGUGAAGGAGGUGUGGUCUCUCCAAUGUCGGUCCCAGUGAAGAGUGUGUGGUCUCUGUAGUGUCAGUCCCAGUGAAAGAGGUGUGGUCUCUGUAGUGUCAGUCCCAGUGAAGGAGGUGUGGUCUCUGUAGUGUCAGUCCCAGUGAAGGAGGGGUGGUCUCUGUAGUGUCAGUCCAAGUGAAGAAGGUGUGGCCUUUGUGUCUGUCAGUCCCAGUGAAGGAGGUGUGGUCUCUCUAAUGUCAGUCCCUUUGAAGGAGGUGUGGUCUCUGUAUUGUCAAUCCCAGUGAAGGAGGUGUGGUCUCUGAAGCAUCUGUCCUAGUGAAGGAGGCGUGGCCUCUGUAGUGUCAGUCCUAGUAAAAAAGGUGUGGCCUCUCUACUGUCAGUACUAAUUUAUAAGGCGUGGCCUCCA
Molecule: long non-coding RNA, 835 nt
Organism: Ictalurus punctatus (channel catfish)
Lineage: Eukaryota; Metazoa; Chordata; Actinopteri; Siluriformes; Ictaluridae
Source: Ensembl